UCGAGAGACCCAACAUAAACCCAUUUCAAUAACAAUCGCUACCAACCUUUUGCACCAGUAAUGUGUGUGUAUCAGGCGCCUACGUCUGGAGAUUAUACUAGAUUAUCGGAGUAGAUUACCAGAGAUUAAACAGAGGUUCUAAUUGCAAUAGCACUAUGCAGGGUAAUGCCUGGUCUCUGUCUGAUUCACUUCAUUUACCUCAGAUCAUUAUCUUACUCCAGUCUGUUGCUCCACAUCAAGCCCAACAGUCCCAUUGACAUGGCUGACAUUUCACAAUGUCUCCUGGCCAACCAGCUGUCUGUUCAGGGCCCUAAAUCAGCCAGAUGUGCUGAUAUUUUAAUAAUCUGGUUAAGUGGUGGUACUGACGGACAAAAGAGAGAAAUAACAACCUAAACUGCAGACUCUGCCGUUUUCUGGGUGGUGGUGAGAUGGUGCUCUGUCUCUCUCUUGUCGUCACUCUCUGCAUGACACAGCUCCGAAAUAAAUACGGAUUUGACUGGCUCAUUAUCCAAAGUCCCUCUAUCUAGACUUCUAAAAUUACUAGAGGUCUACACCUCACCACCCCUCUAUCUACAGUAUAUACAUUAGUACUACUAGAGGUUUACACCUCACCACCUUUCUAUCUACAGUAUAUCCAUUAGUACUACUAGAGGUUUACACCUCACCACCCCUCUAUCUACAGUAUAUCCAUUAGUACUACUAGAGGUUUACACCUCACCACCCCUCUAUCUACAGUAUAUCCAUUAGUACUACUAGAGGUCUACACCUCACCACCCCUCUAUCUACAGUAUAUCCAUUAGUACUACUAGAGGUCUACACCUCACCACCCCUCUAUCUACAGUAUAUCCAUUAGUACUACUAGAGGUCUACACCUCACCACCCCUCUAUCUACAGUAUAUCCAUUAGUACUACUAGAGGUCUACACCUCACCACCCCUCUAUCUACAGUAUAUCCAUUAGUACUACUAGAGGUCUACACCUCACCACCCCUCUAUCUACAGUAUAUCCAUUAGUACUACUAGAGGUCUACACCUCACCACCCCUCUAUCUACAGUAUAUCCAUUAGUACUACUAGAGGUCUACACCUCACCACCCCUCUAUCUACAGUAUAUCCAUUAGUACUACUAGAGGUCUACACCUCACCACCCCUCUAUCUACAGUAUAUCCAUUAGUACUACUAGAGGUCUACACCUCACCACCCCUCUAUCUACAGUAUAUCCAUUAGUACUACUAGAGGUCUACACCUCACCACCCCUCUAUCUACA
Molecule: long non-coding RNA, 1264 nt
Organism: Oncorhynchus keta (chum salmon)
Lineage: Eukaryota; Metazoa; Chordata; Actinopteri; Salmoniformes; Salmonidae
Exons: 4
Source: RefSeq, a predicted model, not a curated record